Long non-coding RNA from Saccostrea echinata, 1945 nucleotides. RefSeq lists it as uncharacterized. Lineage: Eukaryota; Metazoa; Mollusca; Bivalvia; Ostreida; Ostreidae. The record is from RefSeq and is a predicted model, not a curated record. The transcript is spliced from 2 exons.
AUCCUGAAGGAAGAACUUUCUAUAAUCAUGAUAAUAUACACUUAAAGGUAUAUAGCCAUGUACAAAUUCCACACUUUACGUUGCAAUGAAUAUAAUUAUACCCCACCAAACAAAGUUUGGGGGUAUAUAGGAAUCAUUUUGGCCAUAUGUCCAUGCAGUAUUGUCUGGACUAUAACUUUGUAAUGGCGAAUCACUGAAAAUUCAUACUUUGUACAGAGAUUGCUUAUGUCCUUUGGGUGUGUCUUGACCUUGAUCCAAAGUCAUUUGGGCAAGUUCAAGGUCACUAGUAGAAAAAAGUAUAAAAUUCUUGUCUGGGCUAUAUAACUUGGAUUUUGUAAUGGAGAAUCACUAGAAGUUCAUACUUGGUACAUAGAUUGCUUAUGAUCCAAGAGUGUGUCUUGAAAGUCAACUAUCUGAACAAAGACUAAAUAAAUCUUAGAAAGUCAGCUAACUGAACACAGACUAAAGUCAACUAUCUGAACACAGACUAACUAUAGUCAACUAUUUGAACACAGACUAAAUAAAGCUUAGAAUGUCAACUACCUAAACACAGACUAACUAAAGCGUAGAAAGUCAACUAAUUGAACACAGACUAAAUAAAGCUUAGAAAAGUCAACUAUAUAAACACAGACUAACUAAAAGCUUAGAAAGUCAACUAUCUUGAACACAGAAUGAAUAAAACUUAGAAAUUCAACUAUCUGAACACAGACUAAUUAAACCUUAGAAGUCAAAUAUAUGAACACCAACUAACUACAUGUACCUGAACACAGACUGACUCAAUUUACUUUAGAAAGUCCACUAUCUGAACACAAACUAACUUAAGGUUAGAAAGUCACUAUCUGAACACACACUAACUUUAGGUUAGAAAGCUCACUAUCUGAACACAGUCCAACUUUAGGUUAGAAAGCCCACUAUCUGAACACAGUCCAACUUUAGGUUAGAAAGUCCACUAUUUGAACACAGAUUAACUUUAGGUUAGAAAGCCCACUAUCUGAACACAGUCCAACUUUAGGUUAGAAAGGCCACUAUUUGAACACAGAUUAAUUUUAGAUUAGUAAGUCCACUAUUUGAACACAGACUUACCUUAGGUUAGAAGUCCACUAUCUGAACACAGAUUAACUUUAGGUUAGAAAGUCCACUAUUUGAACACAGACUAACCUUAGGUUAGGAAGUCCACUAUCUGAACACAGUUCAACUUUAGGUUAGAAAGUCCAUUAUUUGAACACAGAUUAACUUUAGGUUAGAAAGUCCACUAUCUGAACACAGUCCAACUUUAGGUUAGAAAGUCAACUAUCUGAACACAGUUCAACUUCAGGUUAGAAAGUCCACUAUCUGAACACAGUCCAACUUUAGGUUAGAAAGUCCACUAUCUGAACACACACUAACUUAUAGGUUAGAAAGUCAACUAUCUGAACACAGACUACAUUUAAUGUAGCUGAAAAAGUCAACGUUUUAACACAGACUAAAGAAAGCUUAGAAUCAUACAUACAAUGAUAUUUUGUAAAUUUUAACUUCUAUAAUAUGUUAACUAUAUUGUAAAUAAUCUGUGAUUUCAAAGGUAAAAUAAAGAAUGUUUGAUGACUGUGAUUACCUCUCCCAUAGCACUCUUUUAGCCCUAUUAUUCAUGGCUUCAUUACUAAACUUUCUCGAGAACCCUGUAUGGAAAGUGGAUUUGAGAAUUACAUACAUGAAAAGAGAAUAUAUGCAUAUGUGAUAAUCAAACCUUGCUCAAUUACGCAAUAUUUUCUGUCCUUUUUUGUUUAUCCAUUUUCAUUUAUGAAUGUAGAUUUUGCACAGUUUAAUGGGUGUGUGUCAGGAUUAUGUUGUAAAAUUAUGCCAUUGCAUGUUAAGUAAUUCUUUUGACAAAAUAUGAGAUGUGAAACACUGACGACUUUUAUGAAGUUUUUAUCAUCUACUCAGUAUUAAAGUUGUUGAAUUCCUGAAA